RNAcentral lists this ribosomal RNA (496 nucleotides) under uncultured bacterium. RNAcentral's name for it is "partial 16S ribosomal RNA". It matches the Rfam family "Bacterial small subunit ribosomal RNA", at positions 29 to 507 of the family's 1533-position model. The record is from RNAcentral.
AUGAACGCUGGCGGCGUGCCUAAUACCUGCAAGUCGAGCGAACAGACGAGGAGCUUGCUCCUCUGACGUUAGCGGCGGACGGGUGAGUAACACGUGGAUAACCUACCUAUAAGACUGGGAUAACUUCGGGAAACCGGAGCUAAUACCGGAUAAUAUAUUGAACCGCAUGGUUCCAUAGUGAAAGACGGUUUUGCUGUCACUUAUAGAUGGAUCCGCGCCGCAUUAGCUAGUUGGUAAGGUAACGGCUUACCAAGGCAACGAUGCGUAGCCGACCUGAGAGGGUGAUCGGCCACACUGGAACUGAGACACGGUCCAGACUCCUACGGGAGGCAGCAGUAGGGAAUCUUCCGCAAUGGGCGAAAGCCUGACGGAGCAACGCCGCGUGAGUGAUGAAGGUCUUCGGAUCGUAAAACUCUGUUAUUAGGGAAGAACAAAUGUGUAAGUAACUAUGCACAUCUUGACGGUACCUAAUCAGAAAGCCACGGCUAACUACGUG